Molecule: ribosomal RNA, 460 nt
Filed under: uncultured bacterium
Lineage: Bacteria
Description: partial 16S ribosomal RNA
Rfam family: Bacterial small subunit ribosomal RNA
Source: RNAcentral
CCUACGGGAGGCAGCAGUGAGGAAUAUUGGUCAAUGGGCGUAAGCCUGAAGCAGCCAAGCCGCGUGAGGGAUGAAGGUUCUAUGGAUCGUAAACCUCUUUUAUAAGGGAAUAAAGUGUGGGACGUGUCCUAUUUUGUAUGUACCUUAUGAAUAAGGAUCGGCUAACUCCGUGCCAGCAGCCGCGGUAAUACGGAGGAUCCGAGCGUUAUCCGGAUUUAUUGGGUUUAAAGGGUGCGUAGGCGGCCUUUUAAGUCAGCGGUGAAAGUCUGUGGCUCAACCAUAGAAUUGCCGUUGAAACUGGGGAGCUUGAGUAUAGUAGAGGCAGGCGGAAUGCGUGGUGUAGCGGUGAAAUGCUUAGAUAUCACGCAGAACCCCAGUUGCGAAGGCGGCCUGCCAGGCCGUAACUGACGCUGAUGCACGAAAGCGUGGGGAUCAAACAGGAUUAGAUACCCUUGUAGUC